AGCAUGUGGUUUAAUUCGAAGCAACGCGAAGAACCUUACCAGGUCUUGACAUCCUUUGACCACUCUAGAGAUAGAGCUUUCCCUUCGGGGACAAAGUGACAGGUGGUGCAUGGUUGUCGUCAGCUCGUGUCGUGAGAUGUUGGGUUAAGUCCCGCAACGAGCGCAACCCUUAUUACUAGUUGCCAGCAUUUAGUUGGGCACUCUAGUGAGACUGCCGGUGACAAACCGGAGGAAGGUGGGGAUGACGUCAAAUCAUCAUGCCCCUUAUGACCUGGGCUACACACGUGCUACAAUGGAUGGUACAACGAGUCGCAAGGUCGCGAGGCCAAGCUAAUCUCUUAAAGCCAUUCUCAGUUCGGAUUGUAGGCUGCAACUCGCCUACANGAAGCCGGAANCG
This 397-nucleotide ribosomal RNA is filed under the name Carnobacterium sp. AZTITEMP62. RNAcentral describes it as "bacterial SSU rRNA". It matches the Rfam family "Bacterial small subunit ribosomal RNA", at positions 936 to 1334 of the family's 1533-position model. Lineage: Bacteria; Bacillati; Bacillota; Bacilli; Lactobacillales; Carnobacteriaceae. The record is from RNAcentral.